This 279-nucleotide ribosomal RNA is filed under the name uncultured bacterium. RNAcentral describes it as "partial 16S ribosomal RNA". It matches the Rfam family "Bacterial small subunit ribosomal RNA", at positions 506 to 784 of the family's 1533-position model. The record is from RNAcentral.
UGCCAGCAGCCGCGGUAAUACAGAGGGUGCGAGCGUUAAUCGGAAUUACUGGGCGUAAAGGGUACGUAGGCGGUUAAUUAAGUCGGAUGUGAAAGCCCAGAGCUUAACUCUGGAAUUGCAUCCGAUACCGGUUAACUAGAGUACAGUAGAGGGAAGCGGAAUUCCUAGUGUAGCGGUGAAAUGCGUAGAUAUUAGGGGGAACACCAGUGGCGAAGGCGGUUUUCUAGCUUACUCCUGACACUCAAGCGCGAAAGCAAGGGGAGCGAACAGGAUUAGAUA